Molecule: long non-coding RNA, 114 nt
Organism: Telopea speciosissima
Lineage: Eukaryota; Viridiplantae; Streptophyta; Magnoliopsida; Proteales; Proteaceae
Exons: 3
Source: RefSeq, a predicted model, not a curated record
CUCAGGAAAAGAAGAAGUGUAUUAUAUUAAAAGGGUAAAAAUAUAAGGUUACAAAGUUAUUUGACAUCUUAAGGAGUGUCAAUAAGAAAGUCAUUUUGCCAAGAGAAAAGAAGA